Molecule: long non-coding RNA, 1686 nt
Filed under: Homo sapiens (human)
Lineage: Eukaryota; Metazoa; Chordata; Mammalia; Primates; Hominidae
Description: HSALNT0335628
Source: RNAcentral
UCAGGCCACCAGUGAAAAGAAUGUAAGGUCACAUAGCCUGUACCAUUUCAGGGAGGCAUUGUCUAACCUGGAGCCAUGAGCCUUUUUGAAAUAAUAAUAUUGUCGACCCCCAGUUGUAUGUGCCCAAGGAGAUGGCAAACUUGAGAAACAAGAAUAAUCCUUUCAGCUGGUUUAAAGCUGAGCCCUCACUCUUGGAAUUAAGAAACUGACAAAGGAUGCAAGUUCUUGGUUUAAGGAGCCAAUGGUGUGGUUCCCAGGGACCCUCCCAAAUACACUUCCAAUCUGUUUCUGGAGGACCUGACCUGUAACUCCUGACAAUAUGUUCUGAAUGCUGAAGGAUGGAGAUACACUUUGGAGUAAGAUUCAUAUGAACUUUCAUAAAUUCUUGGGCCAAUGGACUCAAGCCCCUCAUUCAAAGAAAACACCAGAAGAGACUUGGUGUUUUGUGAAAUGGCACAUUCCAAAAUCUCUGUCACUGAGAAAAGGAUGUAAGCUCAGGAUCAAAGCAUCGUCUUCAAAGAAGGAGAAAGUGGAAAACCAUUGAGUACUCUGUUUAAGAACACCUUCAUGGAUUUGAUGGUAGUAAUUAAGUAGUCACUUAGUCUUUUCUUCGUUUAUGUUAAAGGCAGUCAAUCCUUUUCACCUUUCCUAGGGGAGCCUAUUUGCAGAUUCUUUGACAUAGGAAACAUUUUUGCUCAAGCUCCGGGCCUUACUUUUUUAAGCCAGAACAUGACUUGGGGCAGUUCUCAGACCCCGGGUUUCUCCGCCCUCCGGAGAGGUCGGCAAGGAAAUGGACUCAGGAGACAAGGGAGGAAUGUGUUUUGCUGUUUUGGAUUUCAAGAAAUGAAACAGAAACAAGAGCUGGUUUCUUGAUAACUUUGUUCUUCUACGCUAUGGUCUGUAGAAUGAUACAGUUUCUAGUUUAAUUGGUCUGUGACCUGCAGACCCCUGUGUAAGACUCUUCCAGCUUUGAACAUACCAAAGAAAAUUUUAAAAGAAGAGGGGAGAAAAAAGGAGAAAAGUCUGCAUAUUGGGUAAAGGAUGAUUUUGUAUGUGUGUGCUUUUCUAUAGUUGCUAGGAUUUCUGCAAUGAACAUGAGUUCACUUCGAAAUCAGGAAAAACACUAAUAAAUAUUGGAGUUAAUUCUAAGUAGUUAAAAGAAUAAAAUGAUAACCAAUUAUUUUUCAAGCCAAUGCAAAUUAAAAUAAAAGAAGAAUGGCAGUAAUAAUAAGACAAAGUAGAAUUCAUCAUAAAGCAACACUUGGAAUAAAAGAGCCAUUUGUGGGCAUUUUAUGUUGAUAAAAGGUACAAUGCAGGAUGAAGAUAUUAUAAUGAUCAAAGUCACACAAUAAAAGCACAAUAUUAAAUAUAAAAAACAAAAAUUUGACAGGAAUGAAAGGGGAAUUCAGCAGAAAAACAAUUGUUAUAAGAGACGUAAGCACCAGACUUUGACAAUUAGCAGAGGAAAAAAAAAGACACCUAAGUUUGAUACACCAUAAUUAUCAAAGUUGAUUAAUAGACAAAUAUUGAAUUUUGUUCCCUAGCAACAAAGAAUAUGCCUUUCUGAUGUAUUAUUUGAAAACCAGAGCAAAACAAAUACUAUAAAGGCCACAAAGAGAACUUUUGUCCAAAAUGCAACAAAACUAGACAAAAAUUACCAAAGUAAAUAAAAUUUUAAAAACUCAC